This 552-nucleotide ribosomal RNA is filed under the name Aspergillus sydowii. RNAcentral describes it as "eukaryotic LSU rRNA". It matches the Rfam family "Eukaryotic large subunit ribosomal RNA", at positions 89 to 657 of the family's 3401-position model. Lineage: Eukaryota; Fungi; Ascomycota; Eurotiomycetes; Eurotiales; Aspergillaceae. The record is from RNAcentral.
GCGAGUGAGCGGCAAGAGCUCAAAUUUGAAAUCUGGCCCCUCCGGGGUCCGAGUUGUAAUUUGCAGAGGAUGCUUCGGGUGCGGCCCCUGUCUAAGUGCCCUGGAACGGGCCGUCAGAGAGGGUGAGAAUCCCGUCUUGGGCAGAGUGCCCGUGCCCGUGUGAAGCUCCUUCGACGAGUCGAGUUGUUUGGGAAUGCAGCUCAAAAUGGGUGGUAAAUUUCAUCUAAAGCUAAAUACCGGCCGGAGACCGAUAGCGCACAAGUAGAGUGAUCGAAAGAUGAAAAGCACUUUGAAAAGAGAGUUAAACAGCACGUGAAAUUGUUGAAAGGGAAGCGCUUGCAACCAGACUCGGCCUCGGGGUUCAGCCAGCAUUCGUGCUGGUGUACUUCCCCGGGGCCGGGCCAGCGUCGGUUUGGGCGGCCGGUCAAAGGCCCCAGGAAUGUAUCGUCCUCCGGGACGUCUUAUAGCCUGGGGUGCAAUGCGGCCAGCCUGGACCGAGGAACGCGCUUCGGCACGGACGCUGGCGUAAUGGUCGCAAACGACCCGUCUUGA